CCGAUGAGGUGGAAACGGACAGAGCUGGCGUAUCUGGCCUGCAUUCAGCCGCCGCGCGCCGGGCCCCGGUUUGCCGCACUCCAGAUUGGGAAGGUGGCUGGGCUGCUGGCGUGUCGGUGGUGCAUUUGCAGGUGGAGUGCGCCGAGGCGCUCGGCUCAGCGGCAUGAGCUCGGCUUUGAGGCCAGCCGCGCAAGCGGUCUGGUACCCGGGUCGGGGGAGUGUUGUUUGGGCUGAGUGUUCGCUUGGGCACCGGUUUCGGGCCCGGGUGGGUGCCGAGCUGGCGGUGGACGGCGGUCGCGUGCGACACGUGUCUUCAGUCAGUUCGGUCCUGCUCGAGCUCUCGCGUGUCCGGCCUCGGUGUAAAAGCCGGUCAUCUGUCCGACCCGUCUUGAAACACGGACCAAGGAGUUUAGCGUGUGCGCGAGUCAUUGGGCGUUGAAAACCCAAAGGCGCAAUGAAAGUGAAGGUCUGCCUUGUGCAGCUGAUGUGUGAUCCUGGGCGCCGCGGUGCCCGGGCGCAACAUAGUCCCGUCCCGACUGCAUGCAGUGGGGCGGAGACAGAGCGUACGCGCUGAG
Molecule: ribosomal RNA, 575 nt
Filed under: Helicotylenchus microlobus
Lineage: Eukaryota; Metazoa; Nematoda; Chromadorea; Rhabditida; Hoplolaimidae
Description: eukaryotic LSU rRNA
Rfam family: Eukaryotic large subunit ribosomal RNA (bases 400-575)
Source: RNAcentral